GGCGUCUAGCAGGCUUGUAUGGGUUGCAUUUGCGUCGCCCGGCGGCAGUCUCCUUGUGAGGUGUUGCCGGGGCGAUCUUUGUAACUCCUCUUGCGAUGGGACGACGCAUGAGUGGCUGCUAGGAUAUGCUCCCCUUGCAGGCUCCGUGUUCACGACAUCGAACUGCUUGGGGCUAUCCAUCUCAUCUGUGAGUCCGCCUCGGCGCAUCUUGGGUCGGUUGCGGCUUCUCGUCGGGUUCCUGUGCUUGAUAUUGAAUUCCGUAGUUGGAUGGAUCGAUUUUCCCCGUGUUGGUUCGUUGAUUCUCGCUCCGCCUCGCGGGGCGGUGGCGGAUAUCGCGGGGGCGUCGACGUUGUCCUCUCGAGCCGUUGCCUCCCUUCGGGAGCCAAUGCUUGAGAUGGCACGUAGAUGCUGCCGUUAUUCUCGGGUACGGAGAUCUGAUGGUUUUCGCAUAGGUCKUCGUCGGCCUUCGCGUUCGUGACGUUUCGAAGCACCCUCGCUUCUGCUCGCUUGACCCUCGUGGCCCUCCGAGAGCUCACGGAGCGUCUUCGUUCGGUGUUCUUCUCGGUUGAGCCAUCGAGGUCUACAAAGGAAUGC
This 594-nucleotide unclassified non-coding RNA is filed under the name Huberia glutinosa. RNAcentral describes it as "Behuria glutinosa partial external transcribed spacer". Lineage: Eukaryota; Viridiplantae; Streptophyta; Magnoliopsida; Myrtales; Melastomataceae. The record is from RNAcentral.